GACGAACGCUGGCGGCGUGCUUAACACAUGCGAGUCGUGCGGCAGCAUGCCCUUCGGGGUGAUGGCGAGCGGCGGACGGCUGAGUAACGCGUGGGAACGUGCCCCAAAGUGAGGGAUAACUGCUCGAAAGAGUAGCUAAUACCGCAUAUGGUCUUCGGAUUAAAGCUUCGGCGCUUUGGGAGCGGCCCGCGUCUGAUUAGAUAGUUGGUAGGGUAAUGGCCUACCAAGUCGACGAUCAGUAGCUGGUCUGAGAGGAUUAUCAGCCAGACUGGAACUGAGACACGGUCCAGACUCCUACGGGAGGCAGCAGUAAGGAAUCUUCCACAAUGGGGGCAACCCUGAUGGAGCAACGCCGCGUGAAGGAUGAAGGCCUUAGGGUUGUAAACUUCUUUUGUUAGCGAAGAAUAUGACGGUAACUAACGAAUAAGGGUCGGCUAACUACGUGCCAGCAGCCGCCGUAA
RNAcentral lists this ribosomal RNA (461 nucleotides) under uncultured bacterium. Its description in RNAcentral is "partial 16S ribosomal RNA". It matches the Rfam family "Bacterial small subunit ribosomal RNA", at positions 28 to 523 of the family's 1533-position model. The record is from RNAcentral.